GCACAAGCGGUGGAGCAUGUGGAUUAAUUCGAUGCAACGCGAAGAACCUUACCAAGGCUUGACAUGGACCGGACCGGGCUGGAAACAGUCCUUCCCCUUUGGGGCUGGUUUACAGGUGGUGCAUGGUUGUCGUCAGCUCGUGUCGUGAGAUGUUGGGUUAAGUCCCGCAACGAGCGCAACCCUCGCCUUUAGUUGCCAUCAUUUAGUUGGGCACUCUAAAGGGACUGCCGGUGAUAAGCCGGAGGAAGGUGGGGAUGACGUCAAGUCCUCAUGGCCCUUACGGGCUGGGCUACACACGCGCUACAAUGGUGGUGACAGUGGGCAGCGAGACCGCGAGGUCGAGCUAAUCCCCAAAAGCCAUCUCAGUUCGGAUUGCACUCUGCAACUCGAGUGCAUGAAGUUGGAAUCGCUAGUAAUCGCAGAUCAGCAUGCUGCGGUGAAUACGUUCCCGGGC
RNAcentral lists this ribosomal RNA (454 nucleotides) under uncultured bacterium. RNAcentral's name for it is "bacterial SSU rRNA". It matches the Rfam family "Bacterial small subunit ribosomal RNA", at positions 923 to 1379 of the family's 1533-position model. The record is from RNAcentral.